RNAcentral lists this unclassified non-coding RNA (241 nucleotides) under Hevea brasiliensis (rubber tree). The record is from RNAcentral. Lineage: Eukaryota; Viridiplantae; Streptophyta; Magnoliopsida; Malpighiales; Euphorbiaceae.
GAGUAUUUCUAAACCAAAGUUGAAGACCUUUAAAGGAUAGCAAUCCAUUGCCUUACCCAGAAAGGAUAUUUUCAUCAUCUUAAAAGAGUGUUUUUUUUUCUUCUUUUUUUUAGUAAUAAUACUUAACGGUAACUUGUAAUGUUUGAUAAAAUGAAGUUUAUAGCGGACGAAUAACUAUUAUAAUACCCAUUUGAUUUUAUUUUUUAUUUAGUUUAUAUUAAAUUUUUUUAUUUAACUUAAA